This 534-nucleotide ribosomal RNA is filed under the name Candida albicans. RNAcentral describes it as "eukaryotic LSU rRNA". It matches the Rfam family "Eukaryotic large subunit ribosomal RNA", at positions 39 to 578 of the family's 3401-position model. The record is from RNAcentral. Lineage: Eukaryota; Fungi; Ascomycota; Pichiomycetes; Serinales; Debaryomycetaceae.
CAUAUCAAUAAGCGGAGGAAAAGAAACCAACAGGGAUUGCCUCAGUAGCGGCGAGUGAAGCGGCAAAAGCUCAAAUUUGAAAUCUGGCGUCUUUGGCGUCCGAGUUGUAAUUUGAAGAAGGUAUCUUUGGGCCCGGCUCUUGUCUAUGUUCCUUGGAACAGGACGUCACAGAGGGUGAGAAUCCCGUGCGAUGAGAUGACCCGGGUCUGUGUAAAGUUCCUUCGACGAGUCGAGUUGUUUGGGAAUGCAGCUCUAAGUGGGUGGUAAAUUCCAUCUAAAGCUAAAUAUUGGCGAGAGACCGAUAGCGAACAAGUACAGUGAUGGAAAGAUGAAAAGAACUUUGAAAAGAGAGUGAAAAAGUACGUGAAAUUGUUGAAAGGGAAGGGAGUAAAGAUCAGACUUGGUAUUUUGCAUGCUGCUCUCUCGGGGGCGGCCGCUGCGGUUUACCGGGCCAGCAUCGGUUUGGUUCGCAGGAUAAUGGCGGAGGAAUGUGGCACGGCUUCUGUUUUUUAUAGCCUCUGACGAUACUUCCAG